ACUAAAAUGGCGCUGAUCACGUGACAGAUUUCUAAAAGGGAGCCAUUCGGCAUUUCGUUUAUUUUCGUGGAUUUCUUAAAUAUCUGUAUAUUUUUAUUAUAAAAUUUACAAAAAAAGCAUUUAACGUUUGAAAAAUACAUUUAGUUUUCAAAGAGGUAUGAUAAUCUGUGUAUUUUAUAAAUGUCCAUUAAUAAAUGGGCUUGAACGUUUGUUUUACUUAUUUAUUUAAUACUUGUAGAUAUUUCUCAUUAGAAAUGAGUGAUUAUCUACAAAUUUCACUACGUUAAUUAUUAAAUUGUUUAAGUGUAAUGCUGUUGAAUAGGAUAUUUUAUAUUAUUUAAUUAUAAAAACCUUAGGAUUUUGAACAAAGAAGAAUUGCUAAUCAUUUUUUAAAAAAAAUCCGAUGAGAACGUUUCUGACAGUGAGUGAGUAUCUAUUAAUGUUCUAGUAUGUAUUGAAAUGUAUGAAUUAUGAAUGUACAAGCAUAUUCAACGGAAGUUGUAAAGAUUGAAUAUUACUCAUAAUAUUAUAACAUCUGUUCUUAUUGUUCAUAUUUGAAAGUUAUCAAAUCAUCUGUGAAAGUAAUUCAGGACAGAGCUCAUAGUUAAAUACCGUUAAUGACAAUAUUUUUAGAGACUAGUUAGUUUCCUUUUGUAUUUAAAUAAUGGUGGCAACGGAACCCGGCAUAAUUAUCUUAAUUCUACUCUCUUUUUUUGUAAAUUGUGCAAUAAAUUACAUCUGUUUACAUAUAAAAAGUAUCAAAAAAAUUUCAUUUAUUACUCGAAUAUCCCGCCAGCCGGAUCAAGAUUGUAAAGUAAAUACAGUAUAUAUAUAUAUAUAUAUAUAUAUACGUGAAAUUUUAUUAACUAUCACUUGUAAUAAUUAAAGAAGUGUUCUUUAACUAAGCCGGUACGUAAAAAAAAUAUAACUCAAAUAUAGGAAAGAGAUUAAUUACUUUUAUAUUUAAUAAGUACUGGCUUAAGUGUUCAUGAAAAUUGGUAUUUAACAAUUAAUACUUUAGUAAUUGUUUUAUGAUUUGAUUAGUUUGAGCUGCUUAUUAAGGUCGAUUUCGAUGUAUUUUAUUAUAUUUUAAUUGUGUUUUUUAUUCUUUUUUUUUAGUAAGAAUGCCAUCGCUUCUAAGAAGGUUUAGUCUUAGGAGACCAAGAUCCAAAAAGGAUAAUAACGAUACCACAGACGCAGCAGUUGAUUCCUCGAAAAAAAAUAACGAAGAUAACAGCUCAGAAGCGAAUGAAAUUUGUCGAAGACCCUUAUCAAAAAGGGAAAGACAAGUACAAAAACGAGAAAUUCUCAAACCAGGUCAGAAAGUGAAUUUAUCAUUUGCGGGAUGUGGAUUUUUGGGUCUAUAUCAUUUGGGAGUUGCUCAAUGUUUGGUUACACACGGUAAACGCUUCUUACAAGAAAAUGUUGAAUUUUUCGCUGGGGCAUCCGCAGGAUCACUAGUUGCUGCCAUUUUAAGUGUAGAUUCAACGAAAAUUGAUAAAGGUAUAGAAGUAGCUUAUGAAUUGGCUAGAAUGGUUCACAGAAAGAAACUCGGUGUUUUAACACCAGGAGUCAGUUUAUUGGACCCACUAAAGGAGACUUUGCACAGCCUUAUACCUGACGAAGGUUACGAGGUCGCUUCUAAAAAGUUACAUAUUUCCAUUACAACACAUCGUAGACCAAGACGAAAUAAAUUAAUAAGCACUUUUCAUGAUAACAACGACUUGGUUCAGUGCCUUUUGGCAAGUUCAUAUGUACCUCAUUUAACGGGUACAGAACCAGUUGAUUUUAGAGGGUCUAAGUACAUCGACGGAGGAAUGACAGAUAAUCUUCCUAUUUUGGACAAUGGUUUAAGAACGGUUACAGUUUCCCCAUUCAGUGGCACCCAAGAUAUUUGCCCAGAAGACGGGUCUUCGCUUAACAUGCAUUGGAACAUCAAGAAACAAGACUUUCGUGUUAGCAUCCGCAACAUUAAAAGAGGCAAACAUGCUCUCUUCCCACCAAAUAACCUCUCAAAUUAUAUCGAGCGGGGAAAACGAGACGCAGAACGAUUUUUAAGAUUUAUGGGAUUGUACGAAGAGAACAAUACUGAACUUGUCGACUAGAGUUAAAAUUUUUUUCAAAUAUGGUGCACAAUUUAAUAAUAAAUCGCUUGAUUUUGGCCUACAAUAACUCAUUAACAUACAUACAUCUGAAAGCAUUAGUGUACCAUAUAUGAUAAAAGUGUCAAAAAAAAAACAAAAAAACAAAUUCAUAGUUCAAAGUCUACACUUUUGUCCUGUUUUGGUUCUUUUUCUCAUUUUAACAUUAAUAUAUUGAAUUUGAUGCUGUGCCUUUUUUCGAGAACUAUUUAUGAAAUUUUCGAAAAAUUAGUAUUAUAUUUGAUUCUCUAGAGCAAAUGUUCUCUUGCUAUUAGACCAAAAAUACGAUGAAUAAAUAUCUCAAUAAAAGAUAGUGCUGUGUUGUUUUCAUAUAGGCUUAAAUUUGUCUAUAUAAAAUAAACUUGAGCGACAUCUAGUUUCAGUUUUUGUAUAUGUUGAUUCGCUGUUCCAUUUAUAUUCUUGGAGAUAUUUCAUCAAGUGGAGUAAUAAUACGAAUAUAAUUAAGUAAGCAUAAAAAUAUUGCGUUUAUUCUUUAAAAGUUUACCUUAGAAUAUAGCAUUUUUGUGGAAAAUUUAAAUCUGCACUUACUACGUCGUAGUUUUGUCGGGAGUAUAAUCAGAACGGCCAUAAACAC
This 2736-nucleotide unclassified non-coding RNA is filed under the name Dimorphilus gyrociliatus. Its description in RNAcentral is "pNPLA domain-containing protein". Lineage: Eukaryota; Metazoa; Annelida; Polychaeta; Dinophilidae. The record is from RNAcentral.